AAAACAUCUCUUUAUGAUUAAAAUAAUAAGUUGACUCUGCCCAAUGAUUAAUUGAAUGGCUGCAGUAUUUUAACUGUACAAAGGUAGCAUAAUUAAUUGUUUUUUAAAUGAAAUCUUGUAUGAAUGAGGUGAUGAAAUAUAUUCUUUAUUAAAUUUAGAUUUUGAAUUUAAAUUUAAAGUAAAAAUACUUUAAUAAUUUUAAGGGACGAGAAGACCCUAUAGAAUUUAAUAUAAAUAAUUUUUAUUAAUAAUUUAAAAAUUAAAUUAUAUUUAUUUGGGAGGAAUAUUAAAAUUAAAAAACUUUAAUUGAUUAUUUACGUGAAUUAGUGUAUUUAAUUUAGUAUUUUAAUAAUUAAGUUUAAAAUUAAAUUACCUUAGGGAUAACAGCGUAAUAUUUUUUAAAAGAUCAUAUUUAAAAAAAUGUU
Molecule: ribosomal RNA, 425 nt
Filed under: Epyris sp.
Lineage: Eukaryota; Metazoa; Arthropoda; Insecta; Hymenoptera; Bethylidae
Description: partial large subunit ribosomal RNA
Source: RNAcentral